GUAGACACAGCAUUGGCUGCUGGAAACAGGAAAUGCAGCCGCUAUAAUUGCAGCAGAAGAAACAAGAUGCCAGAGCAAUGUGCAGCAUAUUCCUGCUCAAAUCGGCGGACCAUCGCAAACAGGGCUCGGGGGAUUACUUUUCACAAAACAACUGCCUUGCUCAAGGACUACCACGAAUGAGCUGAACAGUCUCCUCACACCCCUGGAACUGAGGAAGGUGUAGCUCUACAUUGCAUUACUGCAGGCAUCUGCUAGACUGUGACUGAAUAUUUGAUUUAUGAGCUCCACCUUCUUAUAUCACCUUUUUGGUAUGGCAA
This is a long non-coding RNA of Alosa sapidissima (American shad), 317 nucleotides long. RefSeq lists it as uncharacterized. The transcript has 2 exons. The record is from RefSeq and is a predicted model, not a curated record. Lineage: Eukaryota; Metazoa; Chordata; Actinopteri; Clupeiformes; Clupeidae.